AACGAACGCUGGCGGCAUGCCUAACACAUGCAAGUCGAACGAGACCUUCGGGCCUAGUGGCGCACGGGUGCGUAACGCGUGGGAACCUGCCCUUAGGUUCGGAACAACUCAGAGAAAUUUGAGUUAAUACCGGUUGAGGUCUUCGGACCAAGGAUCUAUGGCCUCUAGAUGGGCCUGAGUUGGAUUCGCCGGUUGGAGGGGUACAGGCCUGCCAAGGCGGCGAUCCUGAGCUGGUGUGUGAGGAUGAUCAGCCACACUGGGACUGAGACACGGCCCAGACGGCAGCGAGAGGCGGGAGUGGGGAAUAAUGGAGAAGGGGCGAGAGGCUGAUCCAGCGAGGGCGGGAGGGUGAUGAAGGCGUUAGGGUUGUAAAGCUCUUUUGACCGAGAGGGUGAUGAGGGUAUCGGGAGAGUAAGAUCCGGCUAAUUCCGU
Molecule: ribosomal RNA, 432 nt
Filed under: uncultured bacterium
Lineage: Bacteria
Description: partial 16S ribosomal RNA
Rfam family: Bacterial small subunit ribosomal RNA
Source: RNAcentral